Long non-coding RNA from Heteronotia binoei (common prickly gecko), 788 nucleotides. RefSeq lists it as uncharacterized. The transcript is spliced from 2 exons. Lineage: Eukaryota; Metazoa; Chordata; Lepidosauria; Squamata; Gekkonidae. The record is from RefSeq and is a predicted model, not a curated record.
CUUCAGGAAUGCCCGAAAUGAACAGCUUCUUCCCACAUUCUGCUGCAGUCCCUCGAAGGACCAGCUUCUCCCCUCAGUCUGAAAUGACCACCUUUUCUCAAGCUGUUCAAGGGAACCAGCAGCCAGGCGAGACUGCAGGGGUUUCUGAGGCCCUGGCUCUUGCUCUGAGAGCCAGGCAGCAGGCCGAAUGGGAAAUGGAUGAAGAAGACUUUAGACCAUGAAAGCACAGACAUGGAGGUGCAAGAAGCACCAAGAAGCACUUUGGGGACAGGACUCGGCAGUUUGCACAACCAAAGGGCCUGGCUGCUGGAAUUGCAAUUGCAUCUGCUGUUAAGUCUGUGUAAGAAGUGACAUAACUCUGAAUGUGGGCUGAUGAAGACAGGAUUAAAAAGCAAGGAUUUUGCUUCAGAAAUCAAACCUUCCCCACUGGUUGCGGUUUAAUUUAUUAUGAUUUUUGAGAACACAGUGCAGUGAAAUAUAUCGAGAGACUGAAAUAGUUUGCUGAUUUCUAACCCCCCCCCCCCCCACCCUUUUCUAAGUCCAGGAUCACUCACAUGCUUGAAGGAACAUGGAAAUGGACCAUUUUUUAAAAAAUGGAGCACUGGAUCAGUGUCCCUGGUGAGAAUUGCCAGGCACAGUUUUGUGGACAUCUGUGGUAUCCUUCUCUCUGAACUGAAUUAUUGCUGUUCUAAUCGCAGUAUUUUUAACGGAAAUUAUAUAAGAAUUAAAAAUAACCCUUGUCUUCUGGUGCAAUUUAUGCUGCAAUUUGGAAAUAGAAAUCUCAUUUC